This 409-nucleotide long non-coding RNA is filed under the name Zostera marina. RNAcentral describes it as "long non-coding RNA (ZMAR_LNC006059)". The record is from RNAcentral. Lineage: Eukaryota; Viridiplantae; Streptophyta; Magnoliopsida; Alismatales; Zosteraceae.
CUAUUCUCUAUUUUGUAAACUUGGCAUUAGCCUUAUUCUAAUGAAAUUUAAUUGCUUCAAAAAAAAAAAAAAAAAAAAACUAUCUAUAGCUACUAACUAGUAGGAUAAUUAGUGACGGGUAAAACAUGACAGUUAAACAAUACAGUUAAACUAUCUAUAUCUUUAACUAGUAGGAAUAAUGGUUCAUUCCUACGAUUUCUACUCUCUUGAUUUCAUAUGGUACAUUGGUACCAAAGUUCAAAGAACUUUUUUCAUUCGAUUUGUUUCCAUCCAGUUGCUCCGAUGAAUUCCAAGAGGGAUUCUGCCAUCAUGGUAUCAUUUGCUAAGCUAGAGGCUUCUACUACCCAAGGUUUUUUAGGCGACCAUGCGGUCAUGCGAUGGCCAUGACCGCAUGGCCGCCUAGGCGCUU